Molecule: ribosomal RNA, 822 nt
Filed under: uncultured bacterium
Lineage: Bacteria
Description: bacterial SSU rRNA
Rfam family: Bacterial small subunit ribosomal RNA
Source: RNAcentral
GUGUCAGCAGCCGCGGUAAUACGAAGGGACCUAGCGUAGUUCGGAAUUACUGGGCUUAAAGAGCACGUAGGUGGUUAAGAAAGUUGGUGGUGAAAUCCCAAGGCUUAACCUUGGAACUGCCACCAAAACUUUUUAACUAGAGUAUGAUUGAGGUAAGCGGAAUUUCUAGUGUAGAGGUGAAAUUCGUAGAUAUUAGAAAGAACACCAAUUGCGAAGGCAGCUUUCUGGAUCAUUACUGACACUGAGGUGCGAAAGCAUGGGUAGCGAAGAGGAUUAGAUACCCUCGUAGUCCAUGCCGUAAACGAUGUGUGCUAGACGUUGGGAAUUUAUUUUUCAGUGUCGCAGCAAAAGCGUUAAGCACACCGCCUGGGGAGUACGACCGCAAGGUUAAAACUCAAAUGAAUUAACGGGGACCCGCACAAGUAGUGGAGCAUGUGGUUUAAUUCGAAGAUACGCGCAGAACCUUACCAACACUUGACAUKUUCGUCGCGACUCUAAGAGAUUAGAGUUUUCGGUUCGGCCGGACGAAACACAGGUGCUGCAUGGCUGUCGUCAGCUCGUGUCGUGAGAUGUUGGGUUAAGUCCCGCAACGAGCGCAACCCUUACUUUUAGUUGCUACCAUUCAGUUGGGCACUCUAAAAGAACUGCCAGUGAUAAGCUGGAGGAAGGUGGGGAUGACGUCAAGUCCUCAUGGCCCUUAUGUGUUGGGCUACACACGUGNUACAAUGGUAUUUACAGUGGGAUGCAAAGAGGCAACUCCUAGCCAACCCUUAAAAAAUACUCUCAGUUCGGAUUGUACUCUGCAACUCGAGUACAUGAAGC